GGCGGCGCGGCCAUGUCCUUUAAAUAAGGCCUUCCCGAGGCGCGCGACAGAGAGGCGUGGGUUGUACGGGCGUGUGAUUGUUUCGCUAGGGUCCAGGUCGCGGUUCGGGGCGGAGACGCCGCGGACCACGAGCCUUCCUUGUGCCUUCAUCGGCUCUCCCGCCCCAGCCCCUCACCGGGCAGAAGCGUGGGAGGUGGAUUAAGUGGGAGCAGGUGAGGCCCGCCCGCUACUGAGAGAUCGACUCCUACGUUUGACUGUCCGUUGCUCACAAACUCUUUAUCCGCACGGGGUGGCAGGAGAAGCACUGAACAUGCAGUGUUGACGUUCAGGCCAGAUGCAAGCCAGAUUUCUAGUGCUGUUGAGUGAAAAUUCUAGAGACAUCCUGCCUCCUUAGGAGCCUGCACUGCCAGGCAGCAGAAUUGUGAACUAGAGUGAAGCAGAAAUCUAGGAAUAUGAGCUCCAUGAUGGCCAUGGGUGAACCAAGGCUGAACUGGGAUGUUUCCCCCAAAAAUGGCCUUAAGACAUUUUUCUCUCGAGAAAAUUAUAAAGAUCAUUCCAUGGCUCCAAGUUUAAAAGAACUAUGUAUUUUAUCUAGCAGACGUAUAGGAGAAAAUUUGAAUGCCUCAGCAAGUUCUGUAGAAACUGAGCCGGCAGUUAGUUCAGCAACUCAAGCAAAGGAAAAAGUGAAAACCACAGUUGGAAUGGUUCUUCUUCCAAAACCAAGAGUUCCUUAUCCUCGUUUCUCUCGUUUCUCACAGAGAGAGCAGAGGAAUUAUGUGGAUUUGUUGGUUAAAUAUGCAAAAAUCCCUGUGAGUUCCAAAGCUGUUGGAAUAAAUAAAAAUGAAUACUUGCAGUACUUGGAUAUGAAAAAACAUGUGAAUGAAGAAGUUACAGAAUUCCUAAAAUUUUUGCAGAAUUCUGCAAAGAAAUGUGCACAGGAUUAUAAUAUGCUUUCUGAUGACGCUCGUCUCUUCACAGAGCAAAUUUUAAAAGCUUGUAUUGAACAAGUGAAAAAGUAUCCAGAAUUCUAUACUCUCCAUGAAGUCACCAGCUUAAUGGGAUUCUUCCCAUUCAGAACAGAGAUGGGAUUAAAGUUAGAAAAAACUCUUCUUGCAUUGGGCAGUGUAAAGUAUGUGAAAACAGUAUUUCCCUCAAUGCCUGCAAAGUUGCAGCUGUCAAAAGAUAUACCUACCACUGAAACACCAGAACAAACAGCUGCAGCUAUGCAUUAUGACAUUAGUAAAGACCCAAAUGCAGAGAAGCUUGUUGCAAGAUAUCACCCUCAGAUAGCUCUAACUAGUCAAGCAUUAUUUACCUUAUUAAAUAAUCAUGGACCAAGCUACAAGGAACAGUGGGAAAUUCCAGUGUGUAUUCAAGUAAUACCUGUCACAGGUUCAAAACCAGUUAAAGUAAUUUAUAUUAAUUCACCACUUCCCCAAAAGAAAAUGACAAUGAGAGAGAGAAAUCAAAUCUUCCAUGAAGUUCCCUUAAAAUGCAUGAUGUCCAAAAACACAACUGUUCCAGUCUCUGCAGUAUUUAUGGACAAACCAGAAGAUUAUAUAUCUGAAAUGGAAUCCAUCUUUGGAAAUGCCCCUUCGAUCCUUGGGAGGGAAAAGAUGUCUUAUGAAGUUAAUGAGUGCCGAAAAAUUGAGACCCAUGAAAACUUGGAUCUGGAUUUUGAUGAUGACGUCACAGAACUUGAAACUUUUGGAGUAACCACCACCAAACCAUCAAAGUCACCGAGUCCAGCAAGUACUUCCAUAGUACCCAACGUGACAGAUAUGCCCACAGCCCCCAGCAUGGCAAUCACAUCUGAGGCACCAAUUGCACCAGACAUUACUGCUCAUUCUAGAAGUAUAUCUCAGAUUCUGAUGGAACAGCUGCAGAAGGAGAAACAGCUGGUGACUGGUAUGGACAAUGGCCCUGAAGAGUGCAAAAACAAAGAUGAUCAGGGAUUGAUCCUCUGUGGUGAAAAUGUAGCAAAUUCUGAGAAGUCUUUGGUACAAGAUAGUGACUUGAAAACAUCUGAUGCCUUACACUUAGAAAGUUCUUCAGAAAUUGAAACCUCUAAUAAAAAUGAUAUGGCUUCUGAUAUGGAGUAUGUUGAUGAAAGAGUGAAUGUUCCAGAGAACACAGACAAUAAUUCAAAGGAAAAGCCUGUUACAUCAGAAGCAGCUAAAACUGAAGAUGUAAUUCUUUGCCAUAGUGAUACAGAUGAAGACUGUUUAAUCAUUGAUACAGAGUGUCAAAAUAAUAGUAAUGGAAAGACUGCUGAUAUGGAUUCUAAUUUAAGUUCUAAACCAGCUAGCCUAAAUUCUUCCUCAGGACAGGCUUCUGUAGGAAACCAGACUAAUACUACUUGUAGUCCUGAAGAUUCAUGUGUUUUAAAAAAACCUAUCAAACGAGUGUAUAAAAAAUUUGAUCCAGUUGGAGAAAUUUUAAAAAUGCAGGAUGAACUCUUAAAACCAAUUUCCAGAAAAAUACCUGAAAUGCUGUUGAUGAAUUCAGAAAAUUCUAAACAACCUCCUAGUUCUGAGCAACCCUCUGCUACUUCAGAUGCCUCUAGUUGGCCAAAAUCUAUAUGGCCUUCUGUGUUUCAGAAGCCAAAAGGACGAUUGCCAUAUGAACUUCAGGACUAUGUUGAAGAUACAUCAGAAUAUGUAGCUCCUCAGGAAGGAAAUUUUGUUUACAAGCUAUUUAGCCUACAAGACCUGUUGUUACUUGUGCGAUGCAGUGUCCAGAGGAUAGAGACCAGACCACGUUCUAAAAAACGGAAGAAAAUCAGAAGACAAUUUCCCGUUUACGUACUACCAAAAGUGGAGUAUCAAGCUUGUUAUGGAGUUGAAGCUCUGACUGAAAGUGAACUUUGUCGCUUAUGGACUGAAAGUCUAUUGCAUUCCAACUGCUCAUUUUAUGUUGGACAUAUUGAUACAUUUACUUCAAAGCUUUUCCUGCUAGAAGAAAUCACCUCAGAAGAAUUAAAAGAAAGACUUUCAGCCCUCAAAUUUCUUCUGUUUAAUAGGAUAUCAAGUUUAUUUAACAUCCUUCAACACAUUCUAAGAAAAUUAAGUAGCUUGCAGGAGGGUUCCUACUUGUUGUCUCAUGCAGCAGAAGAUUCUUCACUCCUGAUCUACAAGACCUCUGAUGGAAAAGUUACUAGGACAGCGUACAAUUUGCAUAAAACACAUUACAGCCUUCCUGGUGUGCCUUCCAGUCUCUCAGUUCCCUGGGUCCCGUUAGACCCCAGUCUCUUAUUACCAUAUCAUAUCCAUCAUGGAAGAAUACCUUGUACUUUUCCACCUAAAUCACAAGGUCCCACAACACAACAACAAAAGGUUGGUGGAACAAGAAUGCCUACCCGCAGCCGCAGGAAUUCAGUUUCCAUGGAAACCAAAAGUCUGCCUGCUCAGCAAGUUGAAAAUGAAGGAGUGGCUCCAAGUAAAAGAAAAAUAACUUAAGGACUGUACCAUGGAAAAUGAAGAAAAACCAGUUAUCACAACAAUCAAUUUAGAAAAGUUUGAGGGGAAAUAUACCUGAAAGAUCUGUAGGCAAGAGGAAUGUUUUUCUUUUACUGUUCUUGAGAGUUUUUAUAGUGCCUUGAAAAUACACAUUGACUAUGUGAAGCAGUGAUCCAACUAAAAUGGAACGUUGUGCUCUUAACACCUGAUGUUUGAGGAGACUCCAGAUAUGGUUUAACAUUAUCGUGGCAGGGAAAUAAAGAGAGAAGAAAAUAUUUUUAUAGUAGACCUUUUGCAAAAAAAUUUAAGUAGGAAAACAAUUUGCUUUUGCGAGAGCAAUAUUUAUCAUUAUGUAUUAUGUUAAUAAUUUGAGUUGUAUUGCCGGUCUGUUGAGGUUGGCUCAAAAGGUUAAAUCUUGCCACUGUCAGAGAUAAUUUUGAACUACAUAAACCUUAUUUCUGACCCAUUUGACAGUUUUUAUAUACUACUUUAAAAUGAUGAUUGAUGCAGGUUAAAGAAGUUAAUAUCUUGAAAAACUUGGUGAAAUUCCAUUCCAGAAGCCAAAAAGGAAAAUAAAAAAUAAAAAACCCUCUGCCUCUGAAAAUUCACAAGUAAGUUAACAGUUUUUUAUUGGGCAGUCAUCAGUUUAAAAAGAAAAAACUCUUGUGGUGUAACAGGUUCGGUGACGAAUGCCUCUAUCUCUUGGCACAAAUCCUGGCUAAGUGUUGAAAUAGGCUACUAAAAACAAAGAGAUGAGUAUAGUUUCCAGAAAAAUCUCAUAUUUCAACCAACAAGGCUAAUGUGUGGUAAAACGGAAGGUAUUUUUCUUCAUGUACACUGAUUCAUUUAAAUUUUUCAAGACCAUGGAGAUGAAUUUGGAAAAAGGCAUGAUCAAUUGAUGUUAUUAUAGUCAAUACUAAGAAGGGAUGGACUUAAGAAGGGAUGGACUUAUUUAACUUUUGUAUUCCUCUUCUUUAAUGUGCACUAAAUAUGUGCAUCUUUUGUAAAAUACAAGCUUUGUAAUAUAGGGCAAUAUUUGCUGUGUUUUUGGAAUUUUUUAUGCAUUUUAUAUUAAUAUAAGAAACUAGUCCUAGAAACCUUCUCAACUGUUAUAAAUAGCAGUUAAGUACUUUAUUUACUACCAAGUUUUGAUUUUUUUGGUUGGUUAUCAAUUUUUUUAAAAUUAAUGAGCAAUUACUAGUAAAAUUGUUUUAUGCAUUUUAAUAUAUAGUUUCCUCAUCCUGCCAUUCCCAUUUUAAAAUAUUGAGCUUGGUUUUCAGUGGUCUUGAUCUUUUUUUAACUUUGUCACAUACCCAUAUUUCCCAGAAAUAUUCCAGCUGUGAGUUAUUUGGCAGUGAACCAAGGGAGAGGCAGGGAUUCCCUUGGAAUUUGCUCUUUUAAAAAAACUAAACAAUGAUUGCUUCAGACUUCUGAAUACCAGAAAGAGUUGGCUUUCAUUUUUUUAGUAUACUUUUUACUUAGUAAAAUGUGUGAUCUUACAGGUGGUUAUUUUGAAAUUAUCUUAGCCAGCUAUGUGAGUAACCGUGAUAAUAUAAAGCUAGACUUUGUUUUCCACUUGUGCUUUAUCAAGCCUCUUUUUUCUAAUGUAUAUUUGAUCUUGUCUUGUGUUCUUUUUCUUGAUUUUUAGUACUGAGAAUGUAUAAGCAAGAAAGUGACAUUGACAGUAUGAGCAAAGAUUUAAAAAAAAACAGACUCAAUGUUGGCAAGGAUGUGAUGAGCCUGACCCACUUAAUAUCUCUGAGGUAUGCAUGAAGAAGAACACAGCAUCCCUUUGUGGUAUGUUCCUGCCAAAUAUGCGUAAGUUAUAAGGAAAUACCAGAGAAACACAAAGGCAUAGUCUGUAAAGUAAUUGGUCAGCAAUCUUCAAAACUGACAGGAUCAUGAAAGACAGAGAAACACUGGGGGACUGUUUUACUUAAAGACUAAGUUAAUGGGACUCAUAAUCCUGGUUUGUAUGUAUAGUCCAGUAAAGGACAUUAUUGGAACAACCAGCAAAACUUGGAGUUUGUAGAUUACAUGGUAGUAAUGUAUCUAUGUUAAUUUCCUUUGCUGUGGUUAUGUUAGAGCAUGCCUUGUACUUAGGAAAUAAACACUGAAGUAAAAAUUGGUAAUGGAACAUCACGUCUACAACUUAGUCUCAAAUUGGAGGACUUGGGCAGAGAAACGUUAACAGAGUGGCUUGGUGAAAGGUAUAUAGGAGCUAUAUGUACUAUUUCUACAACUUCUUUAUAAAUUUGAGAUUAUUUCAGAAUAGAAAGUUUGUGAAGGGACUACCCUGGUAGCGCAGUGGUUAAGAAUCCGCCUGCCAAUGCAGGGGACACGGGUUCAAGCCCUGGUCCGGGAAGAUCCCACAUGCCGCGGAGCAACUAAGCCUGGGCACUACAACUACUGAGCCUGUGCUCUAGAGCUCGUGGGCCACAACUACUGAAGCCUGCACGCCACAACUACUGAGCCCGUGUGCCCUAACUACUGAAGUCCAUGCACCUACAGCCCGUGCUCUGCAACAAGAGAAGCCACCGCAAUGAGAAGCCUGUGCACUGCAACAAAGAGUAGCCCCCGCUCACCGCAACUAGAGAAAGCCCACAUGAAGCAACAAAGACCCAACACAGCCAGAAAUAAAUAGAAAAUUAAUUAAUUAAAAACAAAGAAAAGUUUGUGAAAAAUGUAUUGUUCAGUGUCAGGUAUUAUAGGAAGGUCAAGGAGGAUGAAGACUGAAGAGAAAAGUCUUUUAGAUUGAAUAAUCAAUCAGGCAGAAAGACAGAAGAAUCUAAAUGAAGUGGUGGGGGAAUCAGGCACUCCUGUUUUUAGGGUCCCGGGCAUGAAAUUUUCCUUACAGUUCAAAACCCUAAAAACAAAACUUUUCUGCUUUAAAUUCCUACUGUACUUAUUAUAAUACCACAAAUUUUGAAUCUCAGCUGUUACCUAUAUUAUUCUCUUUCAAGUAUUUUGCAAAAGUCCCUAAACAGACCGUAAGCUCCUCACAGGCAACAAUUAUGUUUUUAUACAGCUGUGUGUCUAACCCAAGACCAAGCACAGGGCGAGGCAGCCUCCAGAUGCUGCAUCAACACCUAAAUUGUGCUGAUACCUCGCCAUAUACCAGUAUGCGGCUAAGUUGUCUCUAACUCAGUUUUAGAUCCCUUACUCAUAAGGGCAAGUCUAUGGGCAGCUAUGAGCCCUGCACAAGAAAAGAAAUUUAAAAACUUGUAUUUAGGGAAACCCUUGGUGGUCCAGUGGUUAGGACUGCACUUUCACUGCUGAGGGCCCAGGUUCGAUCCCUGGUCGGGGAACUAAGAUCACACAAGCAAGCAAGCAAGCAAUAAAUACAUAAUAAAAAUAAAAACUUGUGCUUAUUAAAGGCCAUGCCAGUCACCUAUCCAGAAAGACUGAAGUUCCAUGUUUUGGAUACAUUUUUACAAUACUGUCUAGCUCACAAUGUUACUAUAUGUCAUUUAAGAGCAACAAGGUAAGUAUAAAUUCAGGUUAGAUUUAACAAUUUGGAAGACACUGUAUUUAAAACCUCUUAAAAACAUUCUAUCUAGCACCCAAAACUUGUUUGGACAUGAAUAUGUAAUCUGUGAUUCUUUCUGCGGCAGAAAAACAAAAAACAACAAACUUCCCUUGUCAAAGAGUGAGACCCUUGUCCAGUCACCGGCAUGCUGAAAAGAAGCCUGCUCCACAGCUCUGGGGUUGUGUGAAUGCCAAGUAAACUCAGCUCCUCCCCAGUUUGCAAACUGCUCUUUCAACAAAAUUCUGCCCAACUUAGACUGCAGAAACUAAACUGUAAGGAAGGUAUUUUGAUUUUAGCCUGUUAGAUAGGACUGCAAAUAAAUAGGAUGUUGUGUCCAGGAACAGUCUUACUGACUGCAUCAUCCUCCAUGAGACAAUAUUUAAAUUUACUCCUGAAAGUUUUCAACUGAAAGUGAGAAAUGAGUCCGAAAUAGGUAAUAAAGUGAUUACAAUCUCUUUGUUUAAUUGAAUGAGAAAGUUAACAUUUCUAUAAAACUAAGAAAUAGAAUGUAUUUUAUGGAGUUUGUGUUUUAUGUUCAGCUAGUCUUGGGUCCCAACAAUAUGCAAACAGCAGUUUUACUAAUGUGAAAAAUAAAUAAUUGAAUACAUUUUACAAGUAUAUUAUCUGCCCUCUGCCCCACUAAAAGUGAUGCAAAUUAUCGUUUCCCAAGUGCCGCAGUGGGCAGCUGGAAAUAGUCUCUGUCCAAUUAUACAAUGAGUUCUUUUGAGUUCAGGAAGAGGGUGAGGGAGACUGAAAUCACAGUGCAUCAGGCUUGAAUGUCUUUGUAUAUGUGUGUAUGUUGGGAAGCUAAUAAAGUGGUAGGUCAGUCCCUAAUUCAGUUUGGCUUUUUUUAAUGCUACACUCUAGUGCCUGAAAACUUUUACUCUUAAGGAGCAAGGACUGUGUACCUUACUAAGUGCCUAAGGCCAAAGUGUCAUUUUGCAUAUGAGGGAGUGCUGAGUUUGCUGUCAGCCAAGCCUUCUGCCUACCAGGAGCCCCUGCUAGAGUUAAUUCACGUCCAGCAGUUGGGGAAAUCUUCAGAAUGUUAAAGACUGUCAGCUGCAACUUGGAGAGUACCAAAUAUGCCUGCCAGAUUUGUGAGAAUGUGGCCGAGCCAAUGAGAUAGAAGGUGCAGAUCUUAAAUCUACUGGAGUUGGACACGUCAGAAAUGGAUAAUAAGUACUACAGAUCCUCACACAAGUACUCGAGGGGCACAGGCUCUGGACGACACGCAGGUUCAGCGGCCAUGGCUCAUGGGCCCAGCCGCUCCGCGGCAUGUGGGACCUUCCCGGACAGGGGCACGAACUCGUGUCCCCUGCAUCGGCAGGCGGACUCCUAACCACUGCGCCACCAGGGAAGCCCUGUUGGGUCUGUUUUAAUGAGUAGAUAAGACCUGUUUACGUUUAGUAACAUCCAUGUGCCUAUAGACAUUAAUGUGCCUAAAUCAGUUACAUUUGAAUAUUAAGGGUUGAGUUUUAGAGCUAAAAGAGAAUUUGAAGAUUUUCUAGUCAAAGCCCCUCAUUUUCCAGAUAAGAAACAGAAUCAUAGAUCCUGGGUAAUUUGUCCAAGUAAAGUCAAUUAGGAUAGGAUCUCAGACCAAAACCUCUGCUUCCUGGGGUUGAUGAUGACUAGCACAGGACUCAGCGAUAGAGUACAGUCCAGCAAAGUCAGGUCUUUAAAGAUGCAGAGCCUGUCAUGGGCCCACACUGGGCGAGGUGCUGGAGUUGCAAAGACGAACAGGGAGCUCCCUGUCUAAUGGUACAGCCUGGUACGUAAACAGCCAUAGUGCCAUGGGAUAAAGAAGUACUGCAAAUAAGACAAAGGUUACGUGAAUAAAGAAGUCUAUUCUACCCUUCCCAUAAACCUCAUGCCACGAGGUAUCUUAUUUAUUAUAUUAUCUUGCUUAGCAAACCUUUUUAUUUUUUCUAGAUAGUAUAUGAACUGUGUAAGCUUUGGCCCUACCUAAGUUAUAUUAUCAUAAAUUAUGAUUCGAGGAAUCAAAAUCAAAUGAGGGACUUCCCUGGAGGUCCAGUGGUUAAGACUCUGCACUUCCACUGUGGGGGGCACAGGUUCGAUCCUGGUCAGGGAACUAAGAUCUGAUGUGCCAUGCGGCGUGGCCAGAAAAAAAAAAAGAAAUGUUGGUUUAAAAAAAAUCAAAUGAAAUUUUACUGUAUUGAGUGUUUUCUGCAGAGGGUGCUGUGAUAUCCAACUUUUACUCUAUAGUUUUUUAAUUGUAUUUUCUUGAAUAUAUUUGAAAAAAUACCAUUAAGAAGAUUGAAGUUUUCCCCAGAGCCUGCCACAAGCUGUUAUAAUCUUAGUGUGUAAGAUGGAAGCCCUCUUUUCACUAUUUCUUUUUUCAUCUAUGUUUAAAAUUAUAGAAGUAAUAUGUAUUCAUUGUUAACAAAAAUCAAAUAAUAUAAAGAAGUGUAUAAAAGGUGAGCAUUCUCCUUUACACAUACACACCAAUUUUCUUUCCCAAGAGCUAAUCAAUAUCAGCUUGGUCUAUAUCCUUCCAUAUAUUUGCAUGUGUGUGUAUAUACACUUUUAUACACCUACACAGAUAUAUAAAUAUGUAAAUGUACAUAUAUAGCUAUUAACUUAAAACUAGAGUCAAAUUAGUAUUAUUAGUCUAAUUGACUUUUUUUAACUCAGGAGUUGUAAGGUCUUUAAAGUAUAAAAAUAUUGAAACACUCAAAAUGUAUCUAGUAGACAUUUAAUAAAGAUGAAAACAUUUGAAGUAUAGUUAUCUUUAUGUGUGUUUUCAUACUCACUAAACAUUUUAUUUUAUGAAAAAUACUGUCCUAUUUUAAGCAAACUCUUAUGGCUAAGAGAUAUAUUUUUUAUUACAGAAUUAGGAUUUUUCCAGACACUUAGCACCUAAGUAAUAUUUGUAUAUAUGUUGUGGAAAAUGCUGCUUGAAGGAAUGAUAGAGGCUGAGAGAGUUUGAAAUAUUUAUCCUCUGACUUGCCAAACCAUAAAAAUGCAACAAAAUGUACUGAGGUAAGACCUAAGAUGCUACUCUGAUGGCUCAGGAAGCAUCCCAAUAUCUCAGCAAUUUAAUAUAAGAGUGAUCAUGAUAAGGUGGAUAUGUGUAGCCAGAUCUGUUUUCAUAAUGUUUUAUAUAUCAGUAUUGUAAUAACUUAGCAUGCCAACAGACACAGGUUUACACUCACAUUCUGCUUUCUCUUCUGUUUUACUCUAUAUUUUUGAAAACUGUCCAUACUGAUCUAGCUUCAGUCGGUAAUAGCCUCACUGAUGGGCACUUAGGGCAUAUCAACCUUAUAACGCUACAAUAAAAAUCCUAUACACAUAUGUUGUGGUCAUGUAUGACACCCUUUUCAGGAUAGCUUUCUUGAAGCAAAAUCACUGAAUCGAAGGGUAUGAACAUUUUAAAUAUUGAUAGAUACCGCUAAAUUGCCUUCUCACCGAUAACAUAUAAGCAUUUCCAUUUCAGCCAUUUCCAACCACACUGGAUACUAUCAGCCUUUUAGUUUUUGCCAGGUAAGUUUAAGUAUGAAUAAGGACAAGGUAAUGUUUUAUGGAGAGAAAUCCAGUAGUAAGAGGUACUGGGUAAGAGUGUGGGCACAACCAGUAACAACCAAAUGCCUGUCCUCCAGGGGCUCCUGCCUAGUUGCAGAGACCAACAAAUAAAAGAAUAACGAUGCAAGGUGAUAACUGAGAGAGGAGAAGGACAUUAAAAACGUCAAGAGAAACAGAUUAGCACCAAAUCUGCCUGCAGGGCUUGGGGAAGGUUUUCCUUCAUGAGAAAAUAAUAUUUGCUCUGAUGAUUGAAAGACGAGGAGAAACUCACUAUUAAGGAAGGUGGGAAAGGGCAUUCCAGGCAGGGAAGCAGCGUGGAGAAAGGCAUAUGGAGGCGUGAGUAUGAUUGGCAGUGGUGCAAGGUGGGAGUGAAGGGAAAGAUGUGGGCAAUUGGCUGUCAGGUCAGUCAGACCCUACCUACCAAGAAGGGUUUCCAGAGAGGGGUCAUGUAAUCAGAACUAUUUCAUAGAAAGAUAUUCUGGAUGCCUUGUAGAGAAUGAAUUGAGACCAAAAGUAUAUGUUACAGCUGGGAAAGAGAGGUUGAAGUCACUGCAGACAUUUCCCUGAAAAUAUCUGAAAACAAAACAAAUUGUGGUUUGACCACACAGAGUACUCUGUGUGGUUUGGGUCAUGAUACCUUUAUUCAACAAGUGUGUAUUGAAACCGUACCAUGAGUUCAGCAGAGCUAGAUGCUGAAAGAACUCAAAAAGCCAAUGAAAUAGCCACUGUUUUUUCAACACCUACAAUACACCAGGCACUUUUUAUACUUUGUCUAAUCUUUACAUUUGUCCUGCAGUAUCACAAAUGAGAAAACUGCGGUUGUUAAAGAAGCAGAGGGACUUCCCUGGUGGCGCAGUGGUUAAGAAUCCACCUGCCAGUGCAGGGGACACCAGUUCGAGCCCUGGUCCGGGAAGAUCCCACAUGCUGCAGAGCAACUAAGCCCGUGAGCCACAACUACUGAGCCUGCACUCUAGAGCCCAUGCACCACGACUACUGAAGCCCGCAUGUCACAACUACUGAAGCCCGCACGCCUAGAGCUUGUGUUCCGCAACAAGAGAAGCCACCACAAUGAGAAGCCCGCACACCGCAACGAAGAGUAGCCCCCACUCACCGCAACUAGAGAAAGCCCGCACGCAGCAACAAAGACCCAACGCAGCCAAAAAUAAAUAAAUAAAUUUAUUUAAAAAAAAACAGAAACAGAACAAGAUGCCAGAACUGGUUCACUCCAAGCCCCACUCUCGUUCAUGGACUCAGUCUCUCUGAUUCUCCUCUACCUUCUUCCCUCCCUCUCUUCCUUCCUUCCUUCCCUCCUUCCCUUCCUUCCUUUCUUCCUCUCUACCUCCCUCCCUUCCAUCUUCCCUCCUCUUUUAAUAUUUAUCUUCAGCUAAGUUAUAUAGGUGAAUAGUUCUAAAAGUCACAUAUUUACACAAGAAUUCUAUAUCAAUUCUAUAUAAAUCAGAGUUAAGCUUAUUUGUUAGUAACAGAGACUGGAUGUAAGUACUUUAAAUAAGGUAGAAAUUUAUUUUUUCUUUCAUGUACAAGAAAUCUGGAGGAAAGCAGUCCAGGAUUGAAUUGAUGGUUUCACAUUCGUCAGGAAAACAGCCUCCUCCUGACUUUUUGCCCUGUGCUUUUGUCUUCAUCCUCAAGUUUUUUGAUCUCCAUCCUUUGUGUGCCUAGUUUCCAUCUUCCAGUUUUCCUCAAGGUCCACAGUAACCGAGGGAGCUCCAGACAUCACAUCAAGUAUUAGGCAAAGGAAGUAGGAGAAAAAAGGGUGUUCAGAGCAAAAAAACCCAAACCAAACCAAACCAAACCAAUAAACUAAAACAGACGUUUCCUUCUCAUGGCAACUGUUUCAGCUAUAUAUUGCUGCAUAAGUAACCAGCUCCAAAUUUAGUUUCUGAAAACAAUAAUUUGUUUUGCUCACUAGUUUGCAGUUUGGACAGAGCUUGGUGGGAAAGGCUUGUCUCCACUCAUAUUUAGCUGGCAUGGUCCACCUUCAAGAGAGCUCACACAGAUGUCAGGUUGGCACUGGCUGUCAGGUAUAGACUUUGGAACGUCUCCAUAGGCUGCUUGGGCUUCCUCAUGGCAUGGUGGCUGGAUUCCAAGGCAAAUGUCGCAAGUAAACAAGGUAGAAAUACAAUCAGGAUCUAGCCUCAGAAGUCACACAGCAUUCUGUUGGUCAAAUAAGUCACAGCAGGUCAUGAGAUUCAAGGGGACUGGGCAUACCCUCCUCCUCUUGAUGGUCAAGUGGCAAAAUUCUAGAAGAGCAUCUGGGAUGGGAAAUAUUACUGUGGUCAUCUUUGGAGAAUAUAAUGUUGCGUCUCAGUCCAUUUGGGCUGCUAUAACAAACUGCCAUAGAUUGCGUGGCUUACGUGCAACAGAAAUUUAUUUCACACGGUUCUGGAGAUAGGUAAGUCCAAGAUCAAGGUCUGGUGAGGACCCACGAGGCUUGUGGGAUCUUAGUUCCCCAACCAGGGGUUGAACCUGGGCCCUUGACCCCCAGGGAAUUCCCUGGGCCUCUUUUUUUUAACAUCUUUAUUGAAGUAUAAUUGCUUUACAGUGUUGUGUUAGUUUCUGCUGUAUAACAGAGUGAAUCAGCUAUAUGCAUAUGUGUUUCCCCAUAUCCCCUCCCUCUUGGGUCUCCCUCCCACCCUCCUUAUCCCACCCCUCUACGUGGUUGCAAAGCACCAAGCUGAUCUCCCUGUGCUGUGCAGCUGCUUCCCACUAGCUGUCUAUUUUACAUUUGGUAGUGUAUAUAUGUCCAUGCCACUCUCUCACUUUGUCCCAGUUUACCCUUCCCCCUCCCCGUGUCCUGAAGUCCAUUCUCUACUCCUGGCCUCUUUUAUAAAAGUACUAAUCCUGUGAGCGUUCUGCUCUCAUGGCCUAAUCACUUCCCCAAAGCCCCAUCUCUAAAUACCCUCACAUGGAGGGUUAGGUUUCAAGAUACGAAUGUGGGGAGGAUAUAAACAUUCAGUUUAUAGCAUGCUGCAAUAUUUUUUUGUUUUCCUGGAGCUUUUCAUUUGAUAUCAAUAGUUUUUCUUAUCACGCUCACAAAUUCGUUCCUAAGCCACCCAGUGAAGCUGUUAAUGUCUUCUCAGUAUGUUCAAACACCUGGGGUAAUUUCUUCCUCCUACUCUGUCUGAGGCAUUUGUGCUAGAGCCUUUGGUCCUCUUCUCCAAGCUAGACUGGUUGCUCUUUUCUUUUUUUUUUUUUUUUUUCUUUUUUUGGCCGUGCUGCACGGCUUGUGGGAUCUUAGUUCCCCAACUAGGGAUCAAACCCGGGCCUUCGGCAGUGAAAGCACGGAGUCCUAACCACUGGACCGCCAGGGAAUUCCUUAGACUGGUUGCUCUGUAUGCCUGCUGCACAGCUAUUGUUCCAAGUUCUCCCCCAUCAUUCUGGGAAUUCUGUUCACUUAUUUGUGCAUUGAAUCCCUGGUUUUCUGGAUCCAAUGCUCCAGUUUUUGCUCUAUUCUCUUGUUUUGGUGAAGUACAUCAUUCAGAAGUCUCCUGAGACGGGGUGUAUAGUGGGAUGAAUGGUGGCCCCCCCAAAGCUUAUGUCUCCAUCCUAAGCCUCAGAAUCUGUGAGUAUUUCCUAAUUUGGAAAAAGGGUCUUUGCAGAUGUAAUCAAGUUACAGAUCUCAAGAUGAGAUUAUCCUCGAUUAUCUAGGUUGUUCCUAAAUCCAAUGAGAAGUGUUCUUCUGAAAGAAGAGGAGGAGAUGCAGAAACAGAGAAAAGGGCCUUGUGAAGAUGGAGGAAGAGAUUGGAGUGAUACAGUCGCAGAGAAUGACUGGGGCUGCCAGAAGCUGGAAGAGACAAGGAAGCAUUCAGCUUUAGAGCCUCCAGAGGGAGUAUAGCCCUGCUGAUACCUCACUUUCACACUUCUGGCUUCCAGAACUGCAAGAGAAUACAUUUGUGUUUUUUAAGCCACCAGAACUCCUAUUAUUUGGAUGUUGGGUUUUCCAGAUAAAUCUUUUUCCUCUUCUGGCCACGUCUUCAAAUAUAAUACAUUAUCAUAUACUGAUUGCAUAUAACAAGGCUCAAGACAGUAACCAGAGAGAAGACUGUUAGUGGAAGUUGGAAAAGUGGUAAGGAAAUUGCUACAGAAGGCUGGAGAAAAGGCAACCCAGGUUAUGUAUUGGCAGAAUGUUUAACAUUACUGUUGCCUGUGGUAACAUGAGUGAUAAGAAAAUGUGCCUAAUGAACUUGUGGAUCUAGUCAAGGAGAUUUCCAGGCAGAAUGCUGAAGAUGCCAGUGGUCUUUUUUAGCCACUUAUGAUAAAGUACAACAAGAAAAAAAAUGCACUAAAUAAAGAUCUGUUUGGUUUUCAAGCAGAAUUCUAGCCAAUGAAAGGUUUGCAA
This is an RNA transcript of Globicephala melas (long-finned pilot whale), 14884 nucleotides long. It is a transcript of the gene named interactor of little elongation complex ELL subunit 2, with no coding region annotated. NCBI's taxonomy places the organism in Eukaryota, Metazoa, Chordata, Mammalia, Artiodactyla, Delphinidae. The record is from RefSeq and is a predicted model, not a curated record.